Long non-coding RNA from Amphiprion ocellaris (clown anemonefish), 996 nucleotides. The record is from Ensembl. NCBI's taxonomy places the organism in Eukaryota, Metazoa, Chordata, Actinopteri, Pomacentridae.
GUGCCCUCUGCUUUUGGACUCUGCUUUUGCACUCUGCUUUUGGACUCUGUUUUCACCUCCUCUGGAUUUCCCUCACCCUGGACUCAGUUCUUCUUUUGGAUUCCCAUUAGCCCCGUUUUUUGUCCCCAGCCAGUAGCUCUAGUCUCGUCUCCGUUCACCCCAGAUUCUCCGAGCCUGCUUCCCUACCCCUUCUGUUCAGUUCCCCCAUUUAUAUCUGGAGCUUUGAUGGAUCCAACAGAUGUUAUCAGAUGGAGGACACUUUAAAGAUGCAGCAAACAACAAACAGUGUGGAGGUGGAAACUCUCCUCCACACCAACUGUGCAUAUUCUCCAGCUGAGGACGGCGACCAUCACGCCAACACUCGCUUUUGUUCACACGAUUGUGCUUCGAGCUCUGAAGCUGCCAGCCGUCCAUCCCGAGCACCAGGUGGACCAGGACGGCAGGGAAUAUUACAUAACGAAGACGCCCCCUUUUUCAUUCUAUCUCCCAUGAUUCCCUUCAUCUCAGCAGCAAUGAAGAAAGAGGCAGUUUGAGCUUAAUUUAGUGUUUCCAUAUCUGAUUCUUGGCUCUGGGUGAAGCCAGUAGACAUGGAUCUGCUGUGUUUAGUAGGUUGGUUUGUCACUUUCACAAGAUCUGAUGCUUUUUAAUGAGUUUUCUUAUUAAUAUAAAUGGAUUCUAAUGGAGUGGAAGCAAAUUCUACUCGGAAACUUGCUUAGAAGUAGUUCCUGUGUUAAAUUAUACACAGUUAAAUGAUGCAAAAUAAGACUCCAGCCACUUUUUUCUGCAAAUCAGUCACACUUCUCACAUAAAUCUGUGUUAAUUAUCACAGAUAUUUAACUGUUUUCCAUUUAAAUUCUCUUUAAACAUCUUCACUUGAUUGCUUUAUUCAAAAAAAUCCCAGCAGCAAGUGGCAUAAACUGGAUUUAUUUUGCAGGAAAUAAGAGAAAGAGUUUUACUGCCACCUAAAGGACAAAUCUGACCAGUACCAAAUGUGAG